This 241-nucleotide ribosomal RNA is filed under the name uncultured bacterium. Its description in RNAcentral is "partial 16S ribosomal RNA". It matches the Rfam family "Bacterial small subunit ribosomal RNA", at positions 15 to 244 of the family's 1533-position model. The record is from RNAcentral.
GAUCCUGGCUCAGGAUGAACGCUAUCUACAGGCUUAACACAUACAAGUCGAGGGGAAACGACGAUCGAAAGCUUGCUUUUGAUGGGCGUCGACCGGCGCACGGGUGAGUAACGCGUAUCCAACCUGCCUACCACCUGGGGAUAACCUUGCGAAAGUAAGACUAAUACCCAAUGACAUCCCACGAAGACAUCUGAAUGGGAUUAAAGAUUUAUCGGUGAUGGAUGGGGAUGCGUCUGAUUAG